GGGCCCGCACAAGCGGUGGAUUAUGUGGAUUAAUUCGAUGCAAACGCGAAAAACCUUACCUGGCCUUGAUAUGUACCGAAUUUAGCAGAGAUGCUUUAGUGCUCGUAAGAGAACGGUAACACAGGUGCUGCAUGGCUGUCGUCAGCUCGUGUCGUGAGAUGUUGGUUAAGUCCCGCAACGAGCGCAACCCUUGCCAUUAAUUGCCAUCAUUUAGUUGGGCACUUUAAUGGGACUGCCGGUGACAAACCGGAGGAAGGUGGGGAUGACGUCAAGUCCUCAUGGCCCUUAUGGCCAGGGCUUCACACGUAAUACAAUGGCUAGGACAGACGGCCGCAAACCCGCGAGGGGGAG
This 351-nucleotide ribosomal RNA is filed under the name uncultured bacterium. RNAcentral describes it as "bacterial SSU rRNA". It matches the Rfam family "Bacterial small subunit ribosomal RNA", at positions 917 to 1267 of the family's 1533-position model. The record is from RNAcentral.